CUUCCAGGCGCUGCUGCCCCAACACAGGCGGGCACUCUCUGCGGGUCCCGCGGCUCCCGCGGCUUCCGGCCCACUCAGCGCCUCCAGAGGCCUCAGGUGAGGGUCACCCCCCGCAGCUUGGGGUCACUCCCCUGAGCCCCCGGAUCUUCCCAUGGGUCCUUUGGAGGCCUGGGUUUUGGAGUUUGUCCUUCGUUAAGUGCCGCCCGCCGGGCGCGGCUGCUCCAGGACCACAGAUUUCGCUGGGGAUGCUACUUGAUCUCUCUUCAGCCUCAGUUUCCUCACCUGGACAGUGGAGCUGAACCCACCCCCCACUAUCUGACCCUGCUCUCUGGGCUGUCUUUUGGGAACCCGCCCUGCUGAGGCCUGCUCCCCACCCUCCAUGGCUGUCAGCCCCCCAGGAGAAGAAUGUCUGCCAUAUGGAGGCUGCUGGCAGCAAAGGGAGAUGAACAAGCCAAGGUUGCCCGGCCUGCAUGCCGGCCCAGGUAGACACUUGAAAGGACCUUCUCUGUUUGUGGGUUUUUGCCCUGGUGCCUGGAGCCCCUUCCCUAUAGUCCCUUGACCCAGCCCAGCUCUAUGGGCUGGAAGCCCUGGCUUCUGAAGAGGAGAUGUCAAGCUCUACCACAGGUCACAGCCAGAAAGAAUUCUGGCCUCGUCCAGUGAUAGUAAAAGCCACGCCUGGGGAAUGUGCCCUCUCACAGGACAGCACUUCCAGAGGGGGCACAGCAGCAAGGUGGAGGGACAGACUCUGAUGGGCCCUUGGGGAGCUCAAGCAGAACCCACAGGGGCCCUCUUUCUGGGGGUACAAACUGGCAUUGGGUGGAGGGACAUCCAGUAUUGACACCUGAGGGACCUUCAUCCCCAAUGUGGAUUUAAAGGACAGCAGCUCACUGGGGAGACAAGGAGCCCUAUAACACUCCCACCCUCUCCUGAGCCUGCUUCUUGCUUCCUGGUCCUGUUCUUUAUUGGGGAAGGAGAAUCUUAUCUGACUGGGGGAACUCCAGGACUGACCCUGGCCACCAUCAGUAGUGGGUAGGGUAACCAAAUGUUCAAGGUUGCCACACUCAGAUGCCGGCCAUGCACAAGGGUGGGGCCUUCUGGACCUACCUCAAGCUCAUUAGGAACCCACAAGGAAGCUCCUUGAUGGGUGCUGAUGGGCAUCUGCACCCACAGAUUCACUGCCAGACACGGACAAACCGGGUUCCUGGGAAGCUGGAACCUACCUUAUGAAAGCCCCCAUUCCCACCACCCCCUCCAUCCCUCAGGGCUGCUGCUGUGUCUUGCCAUCAACCCUCCCCUGACACCCAGGAUGCCUGCCUCACCCAGAAGCACUCCUACGUCAGGCCUCUGAGGGGGAGCGCUUCAUGCCACUGUUAUCAAAAGAAGAAACCAUCGAAGCAGAAAGGCCAAUGCCACACUAGACAGCCAGGAGCCCAGCAGAACAAGUGGCCCCCUAAGGCACUUUGGGGACCACACCCCGCCACUGACCCCAGCACAGUCUGGUUCCCAGGGCUUCAGGAUCCUCCUGGGGACCUCUCAGCAUGAUUGACACAGGCAGACGGGACCUGAAGGGGCUGCUGGUCCUUCUGAAAAUGUUCACCAGGUAGUGUGAGUGUGGGGAAGCCAUGAACAAUGUGUGGGACUCUACCCUGCACCUGCUCAGAGCCUCAGCCCUUCAGAGCCACUACUAAUGAUUUGCUGUGGGUGGGGUCACCCUGAUACUUCUCUGAGGUGGCUUUUUCUUGCAGUUUUUCUGAGUAACUGACAGGAAUCCUUGACUGCAUGCCGCCUAAACUAGGGUGUGCACAGCCCUCGUUCUGUGCAAAGAGGGUGCAAAGCAGCAGAGUGUCUGUGACCCAUUUGCCACCUAAUGUUACUACAAGAUUUGCAAGAACCGGUCACUUAUCAGUAACCAUUUUUAUUUAAAAAGAUAAAAUAGAGCUUUGCAGGAAAGUGCUGCAGGCUCCCACGUUGCCGGGCAGACGACAACCUGGGCGCCUCGCCCAGCUCCUCCCCACAGCCAUUGGCAUCCACUGUCAGGUUUCAAUGUUCUUGGACCUCAGGGCCUUCGUCCUCUCCAAUCUAAAUGCAGAGAGACAUUUGACAUGGACUCUCUCAGGUGUUUUGCAAAAUGCAACACAUUCUCAUUGACUCUGGUCACUCUGCUGUGCACUACAUGUCAAAACCUCUUCCUCCUCCCUGAGACUUUGGUCCUUUAACUGACAACCCCCCUCCCAUUCCCUCCCUCUGCCACUCUCUGACCCCUGGUCACCAUCGAUCUACUUGCUACUUCUAUGGGGUCAACUUGUUUAGAUCAACACUUCUGGGACCUCACGUGGAAUUGGUCUCUCUGAGGUAGUGGAGAUGCUAAGUAGUGGGAUUUCCUCAUUCCACAUUGUACCCCAUGAAUGAAUACAAGCAUGAUUUGCCAAUUGAAGCAAUACAAUAAAGACAGAAGAAAUGUAAAAUGCAGGAAUUGUGGCUUGACCACCA
Molecule: long non-coding RNA, 2490 nt
Filed under: Homo sapiens (human)
Lineage: Eukaryota; Metazoa; Chordata; Mammalia; Primates; Hominidae
Description: HSALNT0310330
Source: RNAcentral